GAUGAACGCUGACAGAAUGCUUAACACAUGCAAGUCGAUGGGGAAGUGGUGCUUGCACCCUGGCAACCAUGGCGGACGGGUGAGUAACGCGUAAGGGACUUACCUGCAGGACUGGGAUAACAGGGGGAAACUCCUGACAAGACCGGAUAAUGUCAUGGAGCUGCAUGGCUUUAUGAUGAAAGGAGACGCCUGCGGAGAGCCUUGCGUCCUAUUAGCUAGUUGGUGGGGUAAUGGCUCACCAAGGCGAAGAGAGGGAGCGGGCCUGAGAGGGUGGACGGCCACAAGGGGACUGAGAUACGGCCGUUACUCCUACGGGAGGCAGCAGUGGAGAAUAGUGGAAAAUGGGGGCAACCCUGAUCCAGCAAUUCUGUGUGCAAGAAGAAGGUUUUCGGAUUGUAAAGUGCUUUCAGCAGGGAAGAAGUAAGUGACGGUACCUGCAGAAGAAGCGACGGCUAAAUACGUG
Molecule: ribosomal RNA, 463 nt
Filed under: uncultured bacterium
Lineage: Bacteria
Description: partial 16S ribosomal RNA
Rfam family: Bacterial small subunit ribosomal RNA
Source: RNAcentral